RNAcentral lists this transfer RNA (71 nucleotides) under Pseudotrichonotus altivelis. RNAcentral describes it as "tRNA-Ser". It matches the Rfam family "tRNA". Rfam says of the family: Transfer RNA (tRNA) molecules are approximately 80 nucleotides in length. Their secondary structure includes four short double-helical elements and three loops (D, anti-codon, and T loops). Lineage: Eukaryota; Metazoa; Chordata; Actinopteri; Aulopiformes; Pseudotrichonotidae. The record is from RNAcentral.
AAGGAAGUGGCAGAGUGGUGAUGUGGCUGGCUUGAAACCAGGUUACGGGGGUUCAAUUCCUUCCUUCCUCG